AUGCGCACCGGGCCGACGGGCUGGAGGCUCAGCAAUGGGGGAGUGCCCAUUCCCCCGUUUCCCGACGCCGUCACCAAGCAAUCGUACUUCGCCGACGAGGUCGAGAUCGCGCGCACUUCUCUCACCGACGCCGAGCGCUCCCUUCCCCAGUACGCCGCCGACAACAACGCAGCAUGGGCGGCGUACUUCGAGCGCCGCCAGCAGCAACGGCUGGCGUCCACCAACGGGGCGCCGGUGGUUGGCGGCACCAAGAACAGCGAGGGGCGCCACCUCUGGUGGGGCGUCCCCGGCCGCACCCUCGACGGCGUGCUGGCGCACCUCGAGGGCGGCAACAACCCACCAUUGGCGUACCCCCCAGCGAGGACGGCCACCCUGACGCACCGCCGAUGCGACGGGCAAUGGGCGCCGAGGAGGUUCGGCUCCUCCUCCUCAUCUUCCUCGUCGCGUUCUUCCUCCCACUCCUCUGGCACUCCAUCGCUGCUCGGCGUCAAGGCCGAGCCCGCGUCGGAGACGCCGCUCGGCCGGCGCACACGCAGCGCCGGCAUCUUCAUCAGCAAGGGCGGCCGGCGCGCCUCCUCGUCGGCUCCUCCCCCGCGCUUCGUCAAGCCGAAGACGGAGCCGGGUCUCGCGUCGGUGAAGACGGAGCCGGGGCUGGCUCCGGUGAAGACGAAACCGGGGCUGCUGGCGCCGGUGAAGGCGGAGCACGGCGAGGUCGAGCUCGACGACGACGCGGCCCUUGAAUGGGCACGCCAAGACUCCCUGAAGAUGGCGAGGGAGCGCCAGCGCGCCGCCCUAGAGCGCUUCGUGCAACGCCCGCGAGGCCGUGACGAAGGCGGCGGCGUCAUCAUCGACGACAGCGACAACGACGACGAUGCGCCGCCGACGCCGCCACCAACGCGCGAGUCAAGGAGGAGAAGGCCGACGAUGGCGGCGACGACGGCGACUUCU
RNAcentral lists this ribosomal RNA (948 nucleotides) under Triticum aestivum (bread wheat). RNAcentral describes it as "partial small subunit ribosomal RNA". Lineage: Eukaryota; Viridiplantae; Streptophyta; Magnoliopsida; Poales; Poaceae. The record is from RNAcentral.